UGCAGUCGAGCGGCAGCGACAACAUUGAUUCUUCGGAGGAUUUGUUGGGCGGCGAGCGGCGGACGGGUGAGUAAUGGCUGGGAACCUGCCCUGACGUGGGGGAUAACAGUUGGAAACGACUGCUAAUACCGCAUGAUGUCUUUGGACCAAAGAGGAGGACCUUCGGGCUUCUCGCGUCGGGAUGGGCCCAGUUGGGAUUAGCUAGUUGGUGAGGUAUGGCUCACCAAGGCGACGAUCCCUAGCUGGUUUGAGAGGAUGAUCAGCCACACUGGAACUGAGACACGGUCCAGACUCCUACGGGAGGCAGCAGUGGGGAAUAUUGCACAAUGGGCGCAAGCCUGAUGCAGCCAUGCCGCGUGUGUGAAGAAGGCCUUCGGGUUGUAAAGCACCUUCAGCAGUGAGGAAGGCGUAGUGGUUAACACCCGCUGCGCUUGACGUUAGCUGCAGAAGAAGCACCGGCUAACUCCGUGCCAGCAGCCGCGGUAAUACGGAGGGUGCGAGCGUUAAUCGGAAUUACUGGGCGUAAAGCGCAUGCAGGCGGUUUGUUAAGCAAGAUGUGAAAGCCCCGGGCUCAACCUGGGAACCGCAUUUUGAACUGGCAGGCUAGAGUCUUGUAGAGGGGGGUAGAAUUUCAGG
This 636-nucleotide ribosomal RNA is filed under the name uncultured Vibrio sp. Its description in RNAcentral is "bacterial SSU rRNA". It matches the Rfam family "Bacterial small subunit ribosomal RNA", at positions 56 to 673 of the family's 1533-position model. Lineage: Bacteria; Pseudomonadati; Pseudomonadota; Gammaproteobacteria; Vibrionales; Vibrionaceae. The record is from RNAcentral.